This 89-nucleotide transfer RNA is filed under the name Bacteroidetes bacterium QS_8_64_10. RNAcentral describes it as "tRNA-Ser". It matches the Rfam family "tRNA". From Rfam's summary of the family: Transfer RNA (tRNA) molecules are approximately 80 nucleotides in length. Their secondary structure includes four short double-helical elements and three loops (D, anti-codon, and T loops). The record is from RNAcentral. Lineage: Bacteria; Pseudomonadati; Bacteroidota.
GGAGGGGUGCCCGAGCGGUCGAAGGGGCUCGCCUGGAAAGCGAGAGUACCGGUUUCCCGGUACCGGGGGUUCGAAUCCCUCCCCCUCCG